GACGAACGCUGGCGGCGUGCUUAACACAUGCAAGUCGGACGAUGAAGAAAAGAAUUGAAGCUUCGGCAGAAAUUCAUUUCGGAUUAGUGGCAGACGGGUGAGUAACGCGUGAGCAACCUACCUCUUACAAAGGGAUAGCCUCGGGAAACCGGGAUUAAUACCAUAUAACAUUGCGACGAAGCAUUUCGAUGCAAUCAAAGCUACGGCGGUAAGAGAUGGGCUCGCGUCCCAUUAACCAGAUGGUGAGGUAACGGCUCACCAUAGUAACGAUGGGUAACCGGCCUGAGAGGGUGAACGGUCACACUGGAACUGAGACACGGUCCAGACUCAUACGGGAGGCAGCAGUGGGGAAUAUUGCACAAUGGAGGGAACUCUGAUGCAGCGACGCCGCGUGAGUGAUGAAGGAAUUCGUUUCGUAAAACUCUGUUCUAUGGGAAGAAAAGGACUGUACCAUAGGAGAAAGCUCCGGCUAAAUACGUG
RNAcentral lists this ribosomal RNA (480 nucleotides) under uncultured bacterium. Its description in RNAcentral is "partial 16S ribosomal RNA". It matches the Rfam family "Bacterial small subunit ribosomal RNA", at positions 28 to 507 of the family's 1533-position model. The record is from RNAcentral.